RNAcentral lists this ribosomal RNA (465 nucleotides) under uncultured bacterium. RNAcentral's name for it is "partial 16S ribosomal RNA". It matches the Rfam family "Bacterial small subunit ribosomal RNA", at positions 28 to 507 of the family's 1533-position model. The record is from RNAcentral.
GACGAACGCUGGCGGCGUGCUUAACACAUGCAAGUCGAACGGAAAGGCCCUGCUUGCAGGGUACUCGAGUGGCGAACGGGUGAGUAACACGUGGGUGAUCUGCCCUGCACUUCGGGAUAAGCCUGGGAAACUGGGUCUAAUACCGGAUAGGAGCCAUUUUUAGUGUGAUGGUUGGAAAGUUUUUUCGGUGUAGGAUGAGCUCGCGGCCUAUCAGCUUGUUGGUGGGGUAAUGGCCUACCAAGGCGGCGACGGGUAGCCGGCCUGAGAGGGUGGACGGCCACAUUGGGACUGAGAUACGGCCCAGACUCCUACGGGAGGCAGCAGUGGGGAAUAUUGCACAAUGGGCGCAAGCCUGAUGCAGCGACGCCGCGUGGGGGAUGACGGCCUUCGGGUUGUAAACUCCGUUCGCUAGGGACGAAGCUUUUUGUGACGGUACCUAGAUAAGAAGCACCGGCUAACUACGUG